GGUCCGAUCCGGCUGCUUACACAUGCAAGACGAACGGAGUAGAAAUACUUAGUGGCGGACGGGUGAGUAACGCGUGAGAAUCUACCUUCAGGACGGAGACAACAGUUGGAAACGACUGCUAACCCCCGAUGUACCGAAAGGGCAAAUAUUUAUAGCCUGAAGAAGAGCUCGCGUCCGAUUGGCUAGUUGGAGAGGUAAAAGCUCACCAAGGCGACGAUCGGUAGCUGGUCUGAGAGGACGAUCAGCCACACUGGGACUGAGACACGGCCCAGACUCCUACGGGAGGCAGCAGUGGGGAAUUUUCCGCAAUGGGCGCAAGCCUGACGGAGCAAGACCGCGUGGGGGAAGAAGGCUCUUGGGUUGUAAACCCCUUUUCUCUGGGAAGAAAGUUGUGAAAGCAGCCUGACGGUACCAGAGGAAUCAGCAUCGGCUAACUCCGUGCCAGCAGCCGCGGUAAGACGGAGGAUGCAAGCGUUAUCCGGAAUGAUUGGGCGUAAAGCGUCCGCAGGUGGCAGUUCAAGUCUGCUGUCAAAGACCGGGGCUUAACCUCGGAAAGGCAGUGGAAACUGAACAGCUAGAGUAUGGUAGGGGCAGAGGGAAUUCCUGGUGUAGCGGUGAAAUGCGUAGAGAUCAGGAAGAACAUCGGUGGCGAAGGCGCUCUGCUGGACCAUAACUGACACUCAGGGACGAAAGCUAGGGGAGCGAAUGGGAUUAGAUACCCCAGUAGUCCUAGCCGUAAAACGAUGGAUACUAGGUGUUGUCUGUAUCGACCCGGACAGUGCCGUAGCUAACGCGUUAAGUAUCCCGCCUGGGGAGUACGCACGCAAGUGUGAAACUCAAAGGAAUUGACGGGGGCCCGCACAAGUGGUGGAGCAUGUGGUUUAAUUCGAUGAUACGCGAGGAACCUUACCUAGGCUAGAAUGCGCGUGACCGGUCCAGAGAUGGACCUCUCCUUCGGGACACAAAGC
This 968-nucleotide ribosomal RNA is filed under the name uncultured bacterium. Its description in RNAcentral is "bacterial SSU rRNA". It matches the Rfam family "Bacterial small subunit ribosomal RNA", at positions 31 to 1034 of the family's 1533-position model. The record is from RNAcentral.